UUCUGGUCUCUUGCAGUAGGUCGGGUCCGCAGAGAGGAGCGAGAGGCAGAGACGGCCUGGAAACGCACGGCGGUGACGGAACUUUUUUGAGCGUCGCGAGCAGACUCGUCCUUCCUAAAGUUCCUCCAAUCAUGGUACAGAAGCCCAGCAUACCCACGGGAACGCGAAAAUCACGCAAGACGAUCCGUCACCUGUGAUAAACAGCUGAUUCUGAACAAACCAAGCGCCACAGGAGCACACUACAUCAGCGUCUCCGACCACAAGCCUGUACUUCAUCAUCUCUUCAACACAAGCGUCCUUGCUGAGGCAGAGAAUGACACUGAAUUGACCAAAGAUACAUUCAAGCCUACUUGAACGAGAAAUACUCAGAUGACCUGCUCACUAUCACGUCUCGUCUUGGUCCACAAUUCAGCUUUUCCUGGCUCAAAAUUUGUACACCAUGCUAUGUAGCGUGUUUGUUGUGUUUAUGUCCAUAUUGUUCACUUGUAGAGCUUUCACAUCUGAUGUCCGAUGUUCCUAAUGUAAAAUGUGUAAAUACUAUGUCAAUAUUACCAAGUUGCACUUUUAUUUUAUUUUUCUGAAACUCCAUUACAGAGUAAUGUUCCUCAGCUUUAGAGAAUAGCAUUAAUGAAAGUUUUUAUUAUUCCUUUGUUUGAAUGUUACGUAUAUGUAUAACUUAAAAGGUUUAAGAACUAUUGUUCUUGGGAUUGUUUUCCUACUUACCUCCUGUUCUAAUACCUGUUCAAAUUCAAUAUGCGAGUUGUUUAAUGCAAAAUCUGCUCAAUAACAAGCUUCUGUUUUGUGACCACUUCAUUGUAAAUCAAAUUUUUAACCUGUACUAAUACUUUUGUAGACAUUAAAAUGAUUUUUCUACACUAAA
Solea senegalensis (Senegalese sole) is the source of this 880-nucleotide long non-coding RNA. RefSeq lists it as uncharacterized. The transcript is spliced from 2 exons. The record is from RefSeq and is a predicted model, not a curated record. NCBI's taxonomy places the organism in Eukaryota, Metazoa, Chordata, Actinopteri, Pleuronectiformes, Soleidae.